CCUACGGGAGGCAGCAGUGGGGGAUAUUGCUCAAUGGGGGGAACCCUGAUGCAGCGACGCCGCGUGGGUGAAGGAGCGUUUCGGCGCGUAAAGCCCUUUUGGUAGGGAAGAAAAUGACGGUACCUGACCAAGAAGCCCCGGCUAACUACGUGCCAGCAGCCGCGGUAAUACGGAGGGGGCAAGCGUUAUCCGGAUUUACUGGGUGUAAAGGGGGCGCAGGCGGGAAUGCAAGCCAGGAGUGAAAGCCUGGGGCUUAACCCUGGGACUGCUGUUGGAACUGUAUGGCUGGAGUACAGGAGGGGCAGGCGGAAUUCCUGGUGUAGCGGUGAAAUGCGUAGAGAUCAGGAGGAACACCGGUGGCGAAGGCGGCCUGCUGGACUGUGACUGACGUUGAGGCGCGAAGGCGUGGGGAGCAAACAGGAUUAGAUACCCCAGUAGUC
This 440-nucleotide ribosomal RNA is filed under the name uncultured bacterium. RNAcentral's name for it is "partial 16S ribosomal RNA". It matches the Rfam family "Bacterial small subunit ribosomal RNA", at positions 338 to 795 of the family's 1533-position model. The record is from RNAcentral.